This is a long non-coding RNA of Eriocheir sinensis (Chinese mitten crab), 1144 nucleotides long. RefSeq lists it as uncharacterized. The transcript has 4 exons. The record is from RefSeq and is a predicted model, not a curated record. NCBI's taxonomy places the organism in Eukaryota, Metazoa, Arthropoda, Malacostraca, Decapoda, Varunidae.
CACACACAAAAAAAAAAAAAAUAAAUAAAUAAAUAAACACGCUAGACAUUGCCCCAACAAAGAUUUUAUGGGCCUAGUGAUAGUUUGACAAGGCUUUGGUAGAGGCUGUGUUAGUAGUGUUGCCAUGGGUAGUGUUAUGGGCCUAGUGAUAGUUUGACAAGGCUUUGGUAGAGGUUGUGUUAGUAGUAUUGCCAUGGGUAGUGUUAUGGGCCUAGUGAUAGUUUGACAAGGCUUUGGUAGAGGUUGUGUUAGUAGUAUUGCCAUGGGUAGUGUUAUGAGCCUAGUGAUAGUUUGACAAGGCUUUGGUAGAGGUUGUGUUAGUAGUAUUGCCAUGGGUAGUGUUAUGGGCCUAGUGGUAGUUUGACAAGGCUUUGGUAGAGGUUGUGUUAGUAGUAUUGCCAUGGGUAGUGUUAUGGGCCUAGUGAUAGUUUGACAAGGCUUUGGUAGAGGCUGUGUUAGUAGUAUUGCCAUGGGUAGUGUUAUGGGCCUAGUGAUAGUUUGACAAGGCUUUGGUAGAGGUUGUGUUAGUAGUAUUGCCAUGGGUAGUGUUAUGGGCCUAGUGGUAGUUUGACAAGGCUUUGGUAGAGGUUGUGUUAGUAGUAUUGCCAUGGGUAGUGUUAUGGGCCUAGUGAUAGUUUGACAAGGCUUUGGUAGAGGUUGUGUUAGUAGUAUUGCCAUGGGUAGUGUUAUGAGCCUAGUGAUAGUUUGACAAGGCUUUGGUAGAGGUUGUGUUAGUAGUAUUGCCAUGGGUAGUGUUGUGAGCCUAGUGAUAGUUUGACAAGGCUUUGGUAGAGGUUGUGUUAGUAGUAUUGCCAUGGGUAGUGUUAUGAGCCUAGUGAUAGUUUGACAAGGCUUUGGUAGAGGUUGUGUUAGUAGUAUUGCCAUGGGUAGUGUUAUGAGCCUAGUGAUAGUUUGACAAGGCUUUGGUAGAGGUUGUGUUAGUAGUAUUGCCAUGGGUAGUGUUAUGGGCCUAGUGGAAAUUUGACAAGGCUUUGGUAGAGGUUGUGUUAGUAGUAUUGCCAUGCGUAGUGUUAUGGGCCUAGUGAUAGUUUGACAAGAGAUAGAUAGAUAGAUAGAUAGAUAGAUAGAUAGAUAGAUAGAUAGAUACAGAUAGAAUGAAAGAAGAAAUGACGAAAAGGAGGAG